AAUGAACGCUGGCGGUAGGCCUAACACAUGCAAGUCGAACGGCAGCACAGUAAGAGCUUGCUCUUACGGGUGGCGAGUGGCGGACGGGUGAGUAAUACAUCGGAAUCUAGUUUUUCGUUUGGGGUAACGUAUUGAAACUUACGCUAAUAACGCAUACGACCUACGGGUGAAAGCAGGGGAUCUUUUGACCUUUCGCGAUUGAAUGAGCCGAUGUCGGAUUAGCUAGUUGGCGGGGUAAAGGGCCACCAAGGCCACGAUCCGUAUCUGGUCUGAGAUGAUGAUCAGCAACACUGGAAGUGAGACACGGCCCAGACUCCUACGGGAGGCCGCAGUGGGGACUAUUGGACAAUGGGCGGAAGGCUAAUCCAGCCCUACCGCGUAGGUGAAGAAGGCCUUCGGGUUGUAAAGCCAUUUUGUUGGGAAAGAAAAGCAGCAGGUUAAUCCCGCGCUGUUCUGACGGUACCCAAAGAAUAAGCACCGGCUAACUUCGUG
RNAcentral lists this ribosomal RNA (492 nucleotides) under uncultured bacterium. Its description in RNAcentral is "partial 16S ribosomal RNA". It matches the Rfam family "Bacterial small subunit ribosomal RNA", at positions 29 to 507 of the family's 1533-position model. The record is from RNAcentral.